GGGGCAUGCCUUACACAUGCAAGUCGAGCGACAGCACGAGAGCAAUCCUGGUGGCGAGUGGCGAACGGGGUGAGUAAAGUAUCGGAACGUGCCCAGUCGUGGGGGAUAACGUAGCGAAAGUUACGCUAAUACCGCAUACGAUCUAUGGAUGAAAGCGGGGGAUCGCAAGACCUCUCGCGAUUGGAGCGGCCGAUAUCAGAUUAGGUAGUUGGUGGGGUAAAGGCUCACCAAGCCGACGAUCUGUAGCUGGUCUGAGAGGACGACCAGCCACACUGGGACUGAGACACGGCCCAGACUCCUACGGGAGGCAGCAGUGGGGAAUUUUGGACAAUGGGCGCAAGCCUGAUCCAGCCAUGCCGCGUGCAGGAUGAAGGCCUUCGGGUUGUAAACCGCUUUUGUCCGGAACGAAAAGGUUUUACCUAAUAAGCUGAGCUCAUGACGGUACCGUAAGAAUAAGCACCGGCUAACUACGUGCCAGCAGCCGCGGUAAUACGUAGGGUGCGAGCGUUAAUCGGAAUUACUGGGCGUAAAGCGUGCGCAGGCGGUUAUGUAAGUCAGAUGUGAAAUCCCCGGGCUCAACCUGGGAACUGCAUUAGUGACUGCAUAGCUUGAGUGGCGGCAGAGGGGGAUGGAAUUCCGCGUGUAGCAGUGAAAUGCAUAAUAUGCGGAGGAACACCGAUGGCGAAGGCAAUCUCCUGGGCCUGUACUGACGCUCAGC
Molecule: ribosomal RNA, 718 nt
Filed under: bacterium ER-Se-2
Lineage: Bacteria
Description: bacterial SSU rRNA
Rfam family: Bacterial small subunit ribosomal RNA
Source: RNAcentral